AACAGCUCACUAGUCGAGCGGACGAGCAUGGAUAAUAAUCGGGCAUAAGUAUACUACCGAAGCUAUGGAUUUACAGACAAGGGUUUGUAAGUGGUAGGGGAGCAUUCUAAUAGGGUUGAAGGUGAUAUGUGAGUAUUGCUGGACUAAUUAGAAAAGAAAAUGUAGGCAUAAGUAACGAUAAUGCGGGCGAGAAACCCGCACACCGAAAAACUAAGGUUUCCAC
This 223-nucleotide ribosomal RNA is filed under the name Flavobacterium sp. NKUCC04_CG. RNAcentral's name for it is "Bacterial large subunit ribosomal RNA". It matches the Rfam family "Bacterial large subunit ribosomal RNA", at positions 1136 to 1357 of the family's 2925-position model. Lineage: Bacteria; Pseudomonadati; Bacteroidota; Flavobacteriia; Flavobacteriales; Flavobacteriaceae. The record is from Rfam by way of RNAcentral.